GACGAACGCUGGCGGCGUGCCUAAUACAUGCAAGUAGAACGCUGAAGAGAGGAGCUUGCUCUUCUUGGAUGAGUUGCGAACGGGUGAGUAACGCGUAGGUAACCUGCCUGGUAGCGGGGGAUAACUAUUGGAAACGAUAGCUAAUACCGCAUAAAAUUGAUUAUUGCAUGAUAAUUAAUUGAAAGAUGCAAUUGCAUCACUACCAGAUGGACCUGCGUUGUAUUAGCUAGUUGGUGAGGUAACGGCUCACCAAGGCGACGAUACAUAGCCGACCUGAGAGGGUGAUCGGCCACACUGGGACUGAGACACGGCCCAGACUCCUACGGGAGGCAGCAGUAGGGAAUCUUCGGCAAUGGGGGGAACCCUGACCGAGCAACGCCGCGUGAGUGAAGAAGGUUUUCGGAUCGUAAAGCUCUGUUGUAAGAGAAGAACGAGUGUGAGAGUGGAAAGUUCACA
This 456-nucleotide ribosomal RNA is filed under the name Streptococcus sanguinis. Its description in RNAcentral is "bacterial SSU rRNA". It matches the Rfam family "Bacterial small subunit ribosomal RNA", at positions 28 to 468 of the family's 1533-position model. The record is from RNAcentral. Lineage: Bacteria; Bacillati; Bacillota; Bacilli; Lactobacillales; Streptococcaceae.